This 407-nucleotide ribosomal RNA is filed under the name uncultured Methanosaeta sp. RNAcentral describes it as "bacterial SSU rRNA". It matches the Rfam family "Archaeal small subunit ribosomal RNA", at positions 935 to 1338 of the family's 1478-position model. Lineage: Archaea; Methanobacteriati; Methanobacteriota; Methanomicrobia; Methanotrichales; Methanotrichaceae. The record is from RNAcentral.
ACCGACAGACAAUUAUGAAGGGCCAGGCUGAAGACUUUGCCGGAUUAGCUGAGAGGUGGUGCAUGGCCGUCGUCAGUUCGUACUGUGAAGCAUCCUGUUAAGUCAGGCAACGAGCGAGACCCACGCCCACAGUUGCCAGCGUACUCUCCGGAGUGACGGGUACACUGUGGGGACCGCCGCUGCUAAAGCGGAGGAAGGAAUGGGCAACGGUAGGUCAGUAUGCCCCGAAUAUCCCGGGCUACACGCGAGCUACAAUGGUUGGUACAAUGGGUAUCUACCCCGAAAGGGGACGGGAAUCUCCUAAAACCAAUCUUAGUUCGGAUUGAGGGCUGCAACUCGCCCUCAUGAAGCUGGAAUCCGUAGUAAUCGCGUUUCAACAGAACGCGGUGAAUACGUCCCUGCUCCUU